Molecule: long non-coding RNA, 936 nt
Organism: Pundamilia nyererei
Lineage: Eukaryota; Metazoa; Chordata; Actinopteri; Cichliformes; Cichlidae
Exons: 2
Source: RefSeq, a predicted model, not a curated record
GGGGUUCUCCAGGCUGAAAGAUGUUCGUUCAAAGUCACAGUGCUGCCAUGAGGAGCCUCGGGUUGUCACAAGAAGCUAAUUUUAAGUUGUUUUUGAAUAUGUCGCUGUGCAGAUGCCAGUUGUAUUCACUGCAGUUUGUGGCUGGAGUAACCACAACUUGCAUGUUAUUGCAGUGCCAUCCAACCUUGUCCACAGUGCAGCCUUCAAAGCCAAAUACAUUGGAAAUGGAAGAUGAAGAUACGAUCGAUGUGUUUCAACAACAGACGGGCGGAUGGAUUUAAUCGGCCAUGUGCAUCACCACUUUCUUCCUGGACACCACCAACUUUCCUGGCCUCUGAGGCACACAGCGCCUGCUUCUUCGCAGCUCGUCUCAACAGAAUUCCACGCAGAAGAAGUUUCCCGUUUCUCUGCUACACAUAACUGCUGUAUAUUUUCAUUCGCGCCCCUUUUACUUUUCUGUCUUUGUACAUAAGCCACAUCCACGUCACCCUGAGUUCAGAUUUUGUUUUUCCAUGCUGUAUUGUGAUAAGUGUUAAGGACUUCCCUUCCAGACUGUUAGGACUGGUGAUAGAGUGAGCAUUAAGUAAAACUGACUUUAUUGAUCAAAAUCUGCUCAGCUGAUCUUGGUCGGUGGCCAGCAAAUCUGUUCUUAAAGUGUACAAUUUUUGGAACUGGCUGUCACUUAGUGAACCAUAUGCCAAGUAUGGGGAUCACGGGAUAUGCUGACAUUUGGGUUCUGUCAUAUUCACAAAACAUAUUUGAUUUUUUACAUUUUUUAAAAAUAGUACUGGAUGUGUAGAGGAAUGUUCUGAGAAAUCGUUUUUGCUAGGCCACUUCAAAUUUUGGGAAGCCCUAAGAGAUGUUCCAGCAAAAUAAACAUCUGUAUUGUCUAUUAAGAUGCUUGUUGAAAUAAAGCUAUUGUCUUUUUCCAAACUU